UUUCACAAUGGGCGAAAGCUGAUGGAGCGACGCGCGUGGGGGAUGAAUGGCUUCGGCCCGUAAACCCCUGUCAUUUGCGAACAAACCUUACUAUUUAAAAGAUGAUGAGCUGAUUGUAGCGAAAGAGGAAGGGACGGCUAACUCUUGCCAGCAGCCGCGGUAAUACARAGGUCCCAAGCGUUGUUCGGAUUCACUGGGCGUAAAGGGUGCGUAGGUGGUGAGGUAAGUCGGAUGUGAAAGCUCCGAGCUCAACUCGGAAAUGGCAUUGGAAACUACCUUGCUAGAGGGUUUGAGGGGGGACUGGAAUACUUGGUGUAGCAGUGAAAUGCGUAGAUAUCAAGUGGAACACCAGUGGCGAAGGCGAGUCCCUGGAAAACUCCUGACACUGAGGCACGAAAGCUAGGGGAGCAAACAGGAUUAGAUACCCUGGUAGUCCUAGCCGUAAACGGUGCGUAUUUGCUGUAAAAGGAAUCGACCCCUUUUGUGGCGUAGCCAACGCGUUAAAUACGCCGCCUGGGAAGUACGGUCGCAAGAUUAAAACUCAAAGAAAUUGACGGGGGCCUGCACAAGCGGUGGAGUAUGUGGCUUAAUUCGAUGCAACGCGAAGAACCUUACCUGGCCUUGACAUGCAAGUAGUAGAACCAUGAAAGUGGGACGAGCCCGCAAGGGCAGCUUGCACAGGUGCUGCAUGGCUGUCGUCAGCUCGUGUCGUGAGAUGUUGGGUUAAGUCCCGCAACGAGCGCAACCCUUGUGUCCUGUUGCCACCUCUACGAGAGUAGGGAGCACUCUGGACAGACUGCCUCGCUUAAACGAGGAGGAAGGUGGGGAUGACGUCAAGUCAGUAUGGCCCUUACGGCCAGGGCUGCACACGUACUACAAUGCCCGGCACAGAGGGAAGCGAGACCUUAAGGUGGAGCAAAUCCCACAAAACCGGGCCCAGUUCAGAUUGUCGUCUGCAACUCGACGGCAUGAAGCUGGAAUCGCU
This 985-nucleotide ribosomal RNA is filed under the name uncultured Verrucomicrobiota bacterium. RNAcentral describes it as "bacterial SSU rRNA". It matches the Rfam family "Bacterial small subunit ribosomal RNA", at positions 364 to 1336 of the family's 1533-position model. Lineage: Bacteria; Pseudomonadati; Verrucomicrobiota. The record is from RNAcentral.